Small nucleolar RNA from Microtus ochrogaster (prairie vole), 131 nucleotides. The record is from Ensembl. NCBI's taxonomy places the organism in Eukaryota, Metazoa, Chordata, Mammalia, Rodentia, Cricetidae.
GGUUUACAUGUGCGUGUGACCGGCUAUGUCAGCUGACUGCACAGACAAAGGGGACAGAGUAAAUCUACCAUGUAUUUCUCAGCCUAGGCCACUGUGCAUAGCCUGUAUCAUGAAUUUCUGGAAAGACAAAG